AACGAACGCUGGCGGCAUGCCUAACACAUGCAAGUCGAACGAGACCUUCGGGUCUAGUGGCGCACGGGUGCGUAACGCGUGGGAACCUGCCCUUAGGUUCGGAAUAACUCCCCGAAAGGGGUGCUAAUACCGGAUAAUGUCUUCGGACCAAAGAUUUAUCGCCUUUGGAUGGGCCCGCGUUGGAUUAGCUAGUUGGUAGGGUAAAAGCCUACCAAGGCGACGAUCCAUAGCUGGUCUGAGAGGAUGAUCAGCCACACUGGGACUGAGACACGGCCCAGACUCAUACGGGAGGCAGAAGUGGGGAAUAUUGGAAAAUGGGCGAAAGCCUGAUCCAGCAAUGCCGCGUGAGUGAUGAAGGCCUUAGGGUUGUAAAGCUCUUUUACCCGGGAUGAUAAUGACAGUACCGGGAGAAUAAGCUCCGGCUAACUCCGUG
This 433-nucleotide ribosomal RNA is filed under the name uncultured bacterium. Its description in RNAcentral is "partial 16S ribosomal RNA". It matches the Rfam family "Bacterial small subunit ribosomal RNA", at positions 29 to 507 of the family's 1533-position model. The record is from RNAcentral.